Molecule: long non-coding RNA, 302 nt
Organism: Pogoniulus pusillus (Red-fronted tinkerbird)
Lineage: Eukaryota; Metazoa; Chordata; Aves; Piciformes; Lybiidae
Exons: 3
Source: RefSeq, a predicted model, not a curated record
GGCUUUGGUCCAGUGUUUCCCAGCGCUGCUGCAGAAGUCACGCACCUGUCCCUGUCUUCAGUGCAUCACAAACUCCAUGGAGCACAGAGUCCACUCCCUUGCACAGAGCUCAGCUCGCAGUCCAGACCACCCACAUCAUGAGUGAAUGCUCUGAUCUUGCCCUCCAACCACCUGGAACUGGAGAACUGCCUCUGAAAAUAGACUACACCCUCUUUUACUUCCUAGUGGCUCAGAUACUUCUAGGUGAUCUUUUGAUUUGCCCACUUCAAGACACCAGUUGAAAGGAACUGCUUAAGCGUGGA